UACGUAGGGGGCAAGCGUUGUCCGGAUUUAUUGGGCGUAAAGAGCGUGUAGGCGGCCAAGCAGGUCAGCUGUGAAAACUCGAGGCUCAACCUCGAGACGUCGGUUGAAACCGCUUGGCUAGAGUCCGGAAGAGGAGAGUGGAAUUCCCGGUGUAGCGGUGAAAUGCGCAGAUAUCUGGAGGAACACCGGUGGCGAAGGCGGGUCUCUGGGCCGGAACUGACGCUAAGGAGCGAAAGCGUGGGGAGCGAACAGG
Molecule: ribosomal RNA, 253 nt
Filed under: uncultured bacterium
Lineage: Bacteria
Description: partial 16S ribosomal RNA
Rfam family: Bacterial small subunit ribosomal RNA
Source: RNAcentral